RNAcentral lists this ribosomal RNA (442 nucleotides) under uncultured bacterium. RNAcentral describes it as "partial 16S ribosomal RNA". It matches the Rfam family "Bacterial small subunit ribosomal RNA", at positions 338 to 795 of the family's 1533-position model. The record is from RNAcentral.
CCUACGGGUGGCAGCAGUAGGGAAUCUUUCACAAUGGGCGAAAGCCUGAUGGAGCAACGCCGCGUGCAGGAUGAAGGCCCUCGGGUUGUAAACUGCUUUUAUAAGCGAGAAAAAUGACGGUAACUUAUGAAUAAGGAUCGGCUAACUACGUGCCAGCAGCCGCGGUCAUACGUAGGAGCCGAGCAUUAUCCGGAGUGACUGGGUGUAAAGAGUUGCGUAGGAGGCAGAAUAAGUAGCGAGUGAAAUCCGGUGGCUCAACCAUUCAGACUAUUAGUUAAACUGUUAAGCUCGAGACCGUUAGGGGUAAGUGGAAUUUCUGGUGUAGGAGUGAAAUCCGUAGAUAUUAGAAGGAACACCAAUAGCGUAGGCAGGUUGCUGGGACGGUACUGACACUGAGGCACGAAAGCGUAGGGAGCAAACAGGAUUAGAUACCCGAGUAGUC